UCAUAUAAUAAUGACAAUUCAAUGAUACAAUUAUUGAUUUUUCAUUAUAUAACAAAAUUCCAUAUAUAAAUUCUCUUGAAUACAUUUUGAAGCUUAAUAAUACAGUCGAACCUCUAUUCUUUGAAAACAAAAUUUGUUUGCCAAAAAACUCGAUUUUUGUCUUGAAACGCUUGAAAAUAAACAACACUUAUAAUCUAUUUACAUUUCAGUAUGAUAUAUUUGUGAAAAGUGUGAAUUCAUAAAUUUUCAAGCGUUCAUUUUGACAUAAAAUCCCAAUUUUCCCUUUUAUCAAUUUUUUCAUUGAUCGAAGCUACCUCGGUAUUUCGAAAACCUUAAUUUUUCGAAAGGAUUUCGGUCCCUUAUAAUUUGAAAAAUUGAGGUUCAACUGUAUAUAUAAUAUCAAACAAUAAAGCAACAUGAAUAAUUCGACCGAAUGUUUAACAUAGCACAACAACAAACUAAUUUUUUUGCUAUCUUGAUGUCUUUUAAGACCGUUAAACAACACAAUGUUUCGGACUUGAAUGGAUGCUUUUUGGUGUAUUCACAGUGUAGUAGGAAUAAUUUGCAUUUUCUUUUGAUUAAACUGCAUUGUGUUGGAAUUUUUUUUAUUAUUGUUGAUGAAAAUGUUUUUAGAAUAUGUUGAUUUUAAGUUUCGUUCGUGGUUGUUUUUUUUCUGUUGUUUAUAGUGCAAGUUUCGUUAACACAUACACUCAAUGUUGAUGUAUUCCGUUUGUGUGACGCUUUAACAUUUCCUGUUGGCGUUUGUUUUAUUCAUUGCUAAACUAUAACUUCUGUUAUCAACAAAAUAUUGUCUGCAUUAUUGAUAAUUUGUGCGUGUAUAGUUUUUUUCAAUUCAAUUUUAAGACAUCAAUUAAAGGAAUACGAUCCAUAGUAUUUUCGGGACGAAGAGAACCUGUUCUAUCGUAAAAAUCCGAUCUUUCGAUUUCAUCUACAAAUAAGUGAAAACAUCUAACAAAACAAAGAAGUUGCGAAGAAGAAGAAGAGGGAGUUAAAUCAAAAAAGACCACACAUUAAUAACCUGAUGAUAAUCAUACACUAUCGACAAACCAUACAAACUAUUAUAGUUCGUUAUCAUAAAAUAUACAAAAACAGAAUGUGUGCAAACUAUUUUUCACUGAGCAAAUGCCAACAGAAUUUCAUUUUAUUUUACACGAAGAACAAAAAAACUAAUUCUUAGAAAAUAUAUAUAUGAUCAUAUAAAAACAUUGAAGACAGAAUCAAAUCAUCAGUCAUAAAAUAUGUAAUUAAUAAGGGAAAAUUCACUUAGACACAAAAUCAUCUAUAGCUGUCAAUUUGAAUGCGUGGAAAUAAAGAUGAAGGGCGAAGAGAUGCAUUAAAAAAAUAUGAAGACUGAAGAGUGAA
Long non-coding RNA from Contarinia nasturtii (swede midge), 1383 nucleotides. RefSeq lists it as uncharacterized. The transcript is spliced from 2 exons. NCBI's taxonomy places the organism in Eukaryota, Metazoa, Arthropoda, Insecta, Diptera, Cecidomyiidae. The record is from RefSeq and is a predicted model, not a curated record.